GAGCGAACAGAUAAGGAGCUUGCUCCUUUGACGUUAGCGGCGGACGGGUGAGUAACACGUGGGUAACCUACCUAUAAGACUGGGAUAACUUCGGGAAACCGGAGCUAAUACCGGAUAACAUUUGGAACCGCAUGGUUCUAAAGUGAAAGAUGGUUUUGCUAUCACUUAUAGAUGGACCCGCGCCGUAUUAGCUAGUUGGUAAGGUAACGGCUUACCAAGGCGACGAUACGUAGCCGACCUGAGAGGGUGAUCGGCCACACUGGAACUGAGACACGGUCCAGACUCCUACGGGAGGCAGCAGUAGGGAAUCUUCCGCAAUGGGCGAAAGCCUGACGGAGCAACGCCGCGUGAGUGAUGAAGGGUUUCGGCUCGUAAAACUCUGUUAUUAGGGAAGAACAAACGUGUAAGUAACUGUGCACGUCUUGACGGUACCUAAUCAGAAAGCCACGGCUAACUACGUGC
Molecule: ribosomal RNA, 462 nt
Filed under: Staphylococcus saprophyticus
Lineage: Bacteria; Bacillati; Bacillota; Bacilli; Caryophanales; Staphylococcaceae
Description: bacterial SSU rRNA
Rfam family: Bacterial small subunit ribosomal RNA
Source: RNAcentral